Molecule: transfer-messenger RNA, 373 nt
Filed under: Cytophagales
Lineage: Bacteria; Pseudomonadati; Bacteroidota; Cytophagia
Also listed under: 1 other name
Description: Spirosoma sp014377625 Standard tmRNA
Rfam family: transfer-messenger RNA
About the family: Bacterial tmRNA, also known as 10Sa RNA or SsrA, is named for its dual tRNA and mRNA-like properties.
Source: RNAcentral
GGGGGCGACUGGAAUUGACAGCUUGUAGAGGUCGCGUGUAAGCAUGCCGGGAGUUGACGGUAUUUCCCGCCCAAACAAAUCGUUAAAACAAUAACUGGCGAAUAUAACUACGCCAUGGCUGCCUAAUCCGGAGGAUUAAGCAAUAGCCAUUGUCUCCCCAGCCUUGGUACUGCUGGCUGGAUCAGGAGGCAUCGACUCGCAGUGCUGGUCUGGAUAAUGGUGUUGACAACAGACGAGACAAAAAUACCUACGGUUGCGGGUUGGCCUGUUGCGAGCCUGCCCAAUACCCGACAAUCAAAAUCGCAACUAAGCAUGUAGAAGGCACGUCGGGUUCCCUGACUGGACGAGAGUUCGAAUCUCUCCGUCUCCACUU